This 274-nucleotide ribosomal RNA is filed under the name uncultured bacterium. Its description in RNAcentral is "partial 16S ribosomal RNA". It matches the Rfam family "Bacterial small subunit ribosomal RNA", at positions 523 to 796 of the family's 1533-position model. The record is from RNAcentral.
AUACAGAGGGUGCGAGCGUUAAUCGGAAUUACUGGGCGUAAAGCGCGCGUAGGCGGCUUGGUCAGUCGGAUGUGAAAGCCCCGGGCUCAACCUGGGAAUGGCAUUCGAUACUGCCAGGCUAGAGUAUGGGAGAGGGAAGUGGAAUUUCCGGUGUAGCGGUGAAAUGCGUAGAUAUCGGAAGGAACACCAGUGGCGAAGGCGACUUCCUGGCCCAAUACUGACGCUGAGGUGCGAAAGCGUGGGGAGCGAACAGGAUUAGAAACCCUUGUAGUCC